AUGCAAGUCGAGCGCGAAAGUGGACUUCGGUCCGCGAGUAGAGCGGCGAACGGGUGAGUAACGCGUGGGUGAUCUACCUUCGAGUGGGGAAUAACACCGGGAAACUGGUGCUAAUACCGCAUGACAUCUUCGGUUCGUUCCGGGGAUCAAAGCUGGGGACCGUAAGGCCUGGCGCUUGAAGAGGAGCCCGCGUCCGAUUAGCUUGUUGGCGGGGUAAUGGCCCACCAAGGCUUCUAUCGGUAGCCGGCCUGAGAGGGCGGACGGCCACACUGGGACUGAGACACGGCCCAGACUCCUACGGGAGGCAGCAGUGGGGAAUUUUUCGCAAUGGGGGAAACCCUGACGAAGCAACGCCGCGUGGAGGAUGAAGGCCCUCGGGUCGUAAACUCCUGUCGAUCGGGAAGAAUGCGUCCGACCUAAUACGCCGGUGCGUUGACUGUACCGGUGGAGGAAGCCACGGCUAACUCUGUGCCAGCAGCCGCGGUAAGACAGAGGUGGCAAGCGUUGUUCGGAAUUACUGGGCGUAAAGGGCGCGCAGGCGGUUCGCCAAGUCCCGUGUGAAAUCCCCCGGCUCAACUGGGGAACUGCGCGGGAAACUAGUGGACUUGAGUUCGGGAGAGGAAAGCGGAAUUCCGGGUGUAGCGGUGAAAUGCGCAGAUAUCCGGAGGAACACCAGUGGCGAAGGCGGCUUUCUGGACCGACACUGACGCUGAGGCGCGAAAGCUAGGGGAGCGAACGGGAUUAGAUACCCCGGUAGUCCUAGCCCUAAACGAUGAG
This 777-nucleotide ribosomal RNA is filed under the name uncultured bacterium. RNAcentral's name for it is "bacterial SSU rRNA". It matches the Rfam family "Bacterial small subunit ribosomal RNA", at positions 55 to 813 of the family's 1533-position model. The record is from RNAcentral.